RNAcentral lists this ribosomal RNA (634 nucleotides) under uncultured Actinomycetes bacterium. Its description in RNAcentral is "bacterial SSU rRNA". It matches the Rfam family "Bacterial small subunit ribosomal RNA", at positions 244 to 888 of the family's 1533-position model. The record is from RNAcentral. Lineage: Bacteria; Bacillati; Actinomycetota; Actinomycetes.
GCUUGUUGGUGAGGUAACGGCUCACCAAGGCGACGACGGGUAGCCGGCCUGAGAGGGUGACCGGCCACACUGGGACUGAGACACGGCCCAGACUCCUACGGGAGGCAGCAGUGGGGAAUAUUGCACAAUGGGCGCAAGCCUGAUGCAGCAACGCCGCGUGAGGGACGACGGCCUUCGGGUUGUAAACCUCUUUUAGUAGGGAAGAAGCGAAAGUGACGGUACCUGCAGAAAAAGCACCGGCUAACUACGUGCCAGCAGCCGCGGUAAUACGUAGGGUGCAAGCGUUGUCCGGAAUUAUUGGGCGUAAAGAGCUCGUAGGCGGUCUGUCGCGUCUGCUGUGAAAACCCGAGGCUCAACCUCGGGCCUGCAGUGGGUACGGGCAGACUAGAGUGCGGUAGGGGAGAUUGGAAUUCCUGGUGUAGCGGUGGAAUGCGCAGAUAUCAGGAGGAACACCGAUGGCGAAGGCAGAUCUCUGGGCCGUAACUGACGCUGAGGAGCGAAAGCGUGGGGAGCGAACAGGAUUAGAUACCCUGGUAGUCCACGCCGUAAACGUUGGGCGCUAGAUGUGGGGACCAUUCCACGGUUUCCGUGUCGCAGCUAACGCAUUAAGCGCCCCGCCUGGGGAGUACGGAAU